RNAcentral lists this ribosomal RNA (253 nucleotides) under uncultured bacterium. Its description in RNAcentral is "partial 16S ribosomal RNA". It matches the Rfam family "Bacterial small subunit ribosomal RNA", at positions 524 to 776 of the family's 1533-position model. The record is from RNAcentral.
UACGGGGGGGGCAAGCGUUGUUCGGAAUUACUGGGCGUAAAGGGCUCGUAGGCGGCCAACUAAGUCAGACGUGAAAUCCCCAGGCUCAACCUGGGAACUGCGUCUGAUACUGGAUGGCUUGAAUCCGGGAGAGGGAUGCAGAAUUCCAGGUGUAGCGGUGAAAUGCGUAGAUAUCUGGAGGAAUACCGGUGGCGAAGGCGGCAUCCUGGACCAUGACUGACACUGAAAAGCGAAAGCCAGGGGAGCAAACGGG